This 460-nucleotide ribosomal RNA is filed under the name uncultured bacterium. RNAcentral describes it as "partial 16S ribosomal RNA". It matches the Rfam family "Bacterial small subunit ribosomal RNA", at positions 338 to 795 of the family's 1533-position model. The record is from RNAcentral.
CCUACGGGUGGCAGCAGUGAGGAAUAUUGGUCAAUGGACGAGAGUCUGAACCAGCCAAGUAGCGUGAAGGAUGACUGCCCUAUGGGUUGUAAACUUCUUUUAUAUGGGAAUAAAAUGUUCCACGUGUGGGAUUUUGUAUGUACCAUAUGAAUAAGGAUCGGCUAACUCCGUGCCAGCAGCCGCGGUAAUACGGAGGAUCCGAGCGUUAUCCGGAUUUAUUGGGUUUAAAGGGAGCGUAGGUGGAUUGUUAAGUCAGUUGUGAAAGUUUGCGGCUCAACCGUAAAAUUGCAGUUGAAACUGGCAGUCUUGAGUACAGUAGAGGUGGGCGGAAUUCGUGGUCUAGCGGUGAAAUGCUUAGAUAUCACGAAGAACUCCGAUUGCGAAGGCAGUUCACUGGACUGCAACUGACACUGAGGCUCGAAAGUGUGGGUAUCAAACAGGAUUAGAUACCCGAGUAGUC